CGCGCCAGGAGCUGGCUUUGCCCAAACUAUCUGGUUUCAAGUUGCGAGUCUCCCGAAUCCCUGGGAAGGUGCCCCAGGGACAGGACUCCCUUUGCAGGGCCCCGAGGAUUGAUGAGAAUCCCCCCCAUCCCCAGCCACCCAGAGGAUAAGCAGGUGCCAUUGGAAGCCAGAAGAAGCCAUCCGGUCUACUGAGGCUGGAGCUACAGGUAGUGGUGUGUUUCCCAAUGUGGCUUCUGGGAUGGAACUCCAGUUCUCUACAAAAUCAGAUCAACCCCCUUUCCUGCUCAUUCAUUCUGCUCUCCUCUGAAGAGACACUUGGACCUUUCUGCAAGAAUUUCUAAGCCGCCAUGGUUCUGCCAGCCAUUGUACAAGUAGAAGGAGGUGGGAAACUCAUAUACACAGACUUGUAGGAACUGGAAAACCUGAGAUUGUCCUUGUGAGGGAUUCAGAGCCCUGAGCCAAUACCUAGUGCUGGAAACUCAUCCUGUACACUGCUGAGCCAGCCGAGCAUUAGAAUGUUCUUUGUGCUUCCUUGUUUGAAGCUGUGUUCCUCCUCUCAGAAUGUGUUCACUUCAGCAACUAAGGACAUGGAUGAAUGAAUGAGCUCCAGGCAGAUGUGUGCCACAGAGACAGUCUUCAUUAAAAGAGCCACUUUGAUCCCUGAUAGGGAUAUCCAGGGCUGGCCAGUCAGAAACAAAGCCACGGAGUCCGUGCCUCGCAGAGAGAGAAAGAGACCCUAAAAGAUAACAGGGAUGGAGUAUGCCCAAGUGAGUCUCUGGAACUGGCACAAUGGUAACUUGCAAUGCUUUGGGAAGUCAACCUUCUCCCCAGGACCUCGGCCACCUCUUCUGCAGAGUGCCUUACUGGAAUCCAUGAUCUCUGAGGACCCAAAUAAACUAUUAACUUAUUUUAAUGAGACUUUAGUAGUGUCUCAUUAUGAAUA
This is a long non-coding RNA of Apodemus sylvaticus (European woodmouse), 943 nucleotides long. RefSeq lists it as uncharacterized. The transcript has 4 exons. NCBI's taxonomy places the organism in Eukaryota, Metazoa, Chordata, Mammalia, Rodentia, Muridae. The record is from RefSeq and is a predicted model, not a curated record.